This 5151-nucleotide ribosomal RNA is filed under the name Triticum aestivum (bread wheat). RNAcentral describes it as "partial small subunit ribosomal RNA". Lineage: Eukaryota; Viridiplantae; Streptophyta; Magnoliopsida; Poales; Poaceae. The record is from RNAcentral.
AUGGGGGAUGCAAAUGUGCUGGAGCGUAUACUCGACGGAGCCGCGGACCCGACGAAUCUGUCAUUACAACUCUUAAAGGACAUCACGGGAAAUUUCUCUCAAGACAGAAAAAUUGGCCAGGGAGGAUUUGGAGAGGUUUACAAGGGUGUACUCGGAGAAAAGAUUGUUGCUGUGAAGAGGAUCCAUAUAAACGAAAACACAGUUGACGACGGUCUAUUUCGUCGUGAGUUUGGUAGCCUGUCGAAAACUAAUCAUCGGAAUGUAGUACGGUUUCUUGGCGUCUGCUCUAACACACUUCAGAAAACGAUAGAGGAUGCUUGGUCAGGAGAGAUUAGGUUGGCCAGCGUAUUAGAGAGAUUGCUCUGCUUCGAGUACAUCAGCAAUGGAAGCCUUGAUAAGCAUAUUACGGAUGAAUUAAGAGGGCUUGAAUGGGAAACGCGUUAUGAAAUAAUCACCGGGAUUUGCAAGGGCCUGCGUUAUCUUCACAAAGAAAAAGAUAUUAUUCAUAUGGACCUUAAACCGGCAAAUAUUUUACUACAUCAUCAAGAUGGAAAAUAUAUGAUUCCAAAGAUCACGGAUUUUGGUCUGGCAAGACCAAAUAAAAACUCGCAUACUGUGGGUCAAUGUUAUGGAACACCAGGAUAUUGGGCUCCAGAAUGCAGGGAUGACAGCAAAACUACAACCGCAUGUGAUAUAUAUAGUUUGGGUGCCAUAAUCAUAGAAUUAGUAACGGGGUGUAAGGACAUCCCUGACAAAAACUACGUACUUCGAAGGUGGAGACACAGAUGGAAUAAUCCACCGACGCAACUACAAUACCAACAAGUAACUAGAUGCAUCGAUAUAGCGGUACGCUGCAGGGAAAAAAACCCGGAAUCUAGACCUUCUAUAUCGGAGAUAAUCAACUUUCUGAGCGAAUCUGAAGAAACAUGUGGCCAGAUAAUCCCUUGUUUAGAUGAAGAUGACAUGCUUCGGAUUAAUCCGCUCGAAUUGCGGCUACCUUCUGAGCUGAAGAACGAGAUAUCAUGCAAAGUUGAGCCAAGGAAUGGUACACGUAAUUGCAUUGCCUUCAACAUCCAACUGCCAAGCGCACAGUACAGCGCACAACCAGUCAAAUGCAUUGUGCAACCAAGAUCCAUGUAUGUUGUGAUGAUAACCGUGCAAGCAAGAGAUGUUCGUGAGCACGACCAUGCCGACAAGCUCAUCGUAGAAAGCAUGAAAUGGACUGAGGGCCUUGGACAAGAGGAUAUCAUAGAAUGUAUGUCUGGUGCAGAGAAGCGCAAAGAAGUUGAUGAGGUGGAUCUGAUUGUUGUAUAUGAGACUACGAAGCCCCAAGAAAAUUGCAAGCGUAGAAGAGAGACCAACAUGCCAGGUGAUGAAGACCCCAAGGCGAGGAAGAUAAAGAUUGUUGAGUCUGCUUCCUGUAGCGGCGAGAAUAAAGAGGCACCUUCCAUGGACAUCAACUCCAGCACAAGAGGACAAUGUACUGGGAAAACAGAGCAGUGCAAAUUGUACCCACUACAAAGCUUUUCACGCCAUUCUGCUACCAACGAGAAAUACCUAGGGAAAAAGAGCCAUCGAGCUGUGGAUGUCUCAAGGGGGGCCAUGGGUAGCCUGCUCGACAAGCUGGGAAAGCUCGUCACGGAGGACUAUAGUCUGGAUCCGAGCAUCAAGAGUGAUAUCGAGUCUUUCUCAUCAGAGCUGGAGAUCAUGCAUCAAGACCUCCCGAAGCUGGAAAAUAUUGAUAAUGCCAAGAUUUGGGUUGACAAAGUAAGGGAGCUGUCAUAUUACAUAGAGGAUAUGGUCGAUACCUUCUUGGUGCACGUCGAGCUUGACUCCAGUAGGUGUGGCUUCAGGGAGCUCACAUGUAAGGGGCUAAAGCUUUUGGUGAAUGGCAUGACAACUCACGAUCAUACUGAUGAUGUGAUCAAAGACAUCAAGGUCAAAGUUAAGGCUGUGGCCGAUGGGAAAGGGAAGUACAAUAUCGAUGUGAACAAUGUUGUAGCUAAUGCAAUUGAGAAAGCUGCCAUUUACCCUCGGAUGGCUGUGUACACAAAUAAAGAACAUCUCAUUGGCAUUGAAACGCCAAGAGAUGACGUAAUAGGGCUAUUUGAGGAGGGUGGCGAUGUAGAUAAGCAAGAGCUCAGGAUAGUCUCUAUCGUUGGAAUGGGAGGAUUGGGCAAAACCACACUUGCCAAGGCGGUGUAUGAAGAGUUUAAAGGCUACAGUCAUAAAGCUUUUGUUUCGGUGGGCCAGAAUCCUGAUCUGGUAAAUGUUUUGAAGAAGACUAUCCGUGAUUGUCAAGGUCGAGAAUAUAAUGCAGCAAAACUGGAACAACUGGAUGUGGAGCAGCUUUGCAACGAACUCCGCAAUUUUCUCAAGGAUAAGAGAUACUUCAUAGUAAUUGAUGAUUUAUGGGGUUGCCCGUUAUGGGAUACUAUUAAUUCUGCUUUUCCAAGAGAUAAAUGUGGUAGUAGAGUGAUAACAACAACAAGGAUUCAAGAGGUUGUUGAUCGUGAAAGUUGGAAUGUUGAGAACAAAGUUUAUAGAAUCAAACCACUCAGUCAUAAAGACUCAAGAAGUCUAUUUUUUAGAAGAAUAUCUGAUCCUAGAAAAGAUUGCCCUGUUACACCUCGAAAAGAAGAGAUUUUAGCAGAUAUUCUGAGAAGAUGUGGUGGCAUGCCGCUUGCUAUUAACAGUAUAGCAAGCCAUCUAGCUCGUCAUUCAUCAGAAUCGUCCUGGGAGCAUGUAAGGAAAUCUUUGGGUGCUACUCAAUGUAAUGAUGUUGAACAGAUGAAGAAAAUAUUGGAUCUUAGCUACAUACAUCUUCCUGAUCAUCUGAAGACAUGUCUUCUUUAUGUCUGUAUGUAUUCAGAGGAUCGAAAGAUAAAUAAAAAUGAUUUGUUGAGGCAGUGGGUAGCUGAAGGUUUCGUGAGUACAGACGGGGGGCAGGAUGCAGAGGAUGUUGCAGAAGAGUACUUCAAAGCGCUCAUAGACAUGUUUAUGAUCCAACCUUGGAAGAUAGACUACUGCACCAAUGAAGUGUUGUCUUGCAGAGUACACGAUAUAAUUCUUGAGCUUAUGAGAUCCAAGUCAAGUGAAGAGAAAUUUAUUCAUGUAAUUGAUGGUUUGAAAGAUGUGUCAGGACAGAUCCAUCGAGUCUCAGUCCAGUACAAUGAUAAGGAGGAUAGUAGAACUCUUAAAACAAUCAAAGGGUCACUAUCACAUGCUCGGUCAGUGUUACUUUACCGAGCCUCGCUUUUGCCUGCCUUUCUGGAAUUCAAGCAUGUCCGAGUUUUGCACCUUGAAGAUAAAGUAUAUUCAAGAGAGCCCCUAGACCUCACUGGUAUCAGUAGUUUGUUUUUCCUAAGGUAUUUAAAGAUUGCACUCCACCCAUUGUCUGGUGACCUUAAAUUACCUGAUCAACUUGGGCAGCUACAACAAUUGGAGACAAUACAUCUAAAAGGAGGUGGACUAAAGAAGUAUCCAUCAGAUCUUUGUACUUUGCCCCGGUUAUCGUGUCUCAUAUAUAGUAGAUAUGGGGGUAUAAUGUUGCCUUACGGGAUUGAAAGGUUGAAAUCUCUGCACAUCCUGAAAGGUGUAUGUCUGUAUAAAAGCUCUGUAGAAACUAUCAAGGGCCUUGGCGAGCUGACCAACUUGAGAAAUCUUGGGAUCAAUUCGAAUUUCCCUAUUGGAUGGGGAUUUCAUGAAUCGGAGGAAGUGGCAUAUGCACGUAUGAAUGCCUUGCACUCUUCCAUUUCGAGUCUUUCCACCAGCGUCAGGAUCCUUACUUUGCAUGCAUAUUUACCUGGGCAUGAUAUGGAGUACUGGAACAGGACACUGUUUCCUCAAGGUUCUCAUAUUCGGAAGCUCCAUCUGAGCGGCUGCAGUUUUUAUACAUGCCCCGAGUGGAUUGGUCAGCUCCAUGAUCUAUAUAGUCUUACUAUUACGGUGAUGGAGGUGGCUGAUAGCAUCAGUAUUGUUGAAGGGUUGACUUCACUUGCGUACUUUGAGCUCUCUACUGAUACUGAUAGGUAUUGGAAAGAAAAGGAAAGUAUAGUCAUCUCUGGCGGCGGGGCAUUCCAAGCACUCAAGCACCUGAUUUUCCAUUGUCCAAAGGUGUCACUGAUCUUUGAAGUGGGGGCGUUGCCCAAACUUGAGAAGCUUGAAAUACUGUUCUGUCACCUGACGCAUCACAUAUCCUACCUGGCCGUUGGCAUAGAGCACUUGCCAGCUCCAACCCUUGAACAAAUCAUUAUAAAAUUGACCAGAAACAUCAAGUCAGGCUUCAGCAUAACUAUCAAUGACUGGGAUGAUAACGAUUGGGAGUGUGACUAUGCUUCAGAUCAGGAAACAGACAGUUUAAUAAAACAACUAAGAAAGUUGAGGAGCGUAUUGAAGAGAGCAUUUAAGAAGCAUCAUCCUGGCGCUGACAUCUACAUUGAGUUUGAAGAUUAUAGCUAUGAUCCUUCGCAACAAAAAGAAAGAUAUAGGUCAGAUGAAGAGGCGGAGUCUGUUGAUGAUGAAGACGAUGAGGGUGCUCAUCAAGUGAAUGGAUCUCAAACUGCAGCACAAGUCCAGACUAACACAAGGCAAUUAAUUGAGCUAAUUGACGCGCAAGAAGAUUCGGCUAGGAUGAGCAUUAACAUUGAUGCGCCUCUGAUGGUGGGCACGUCCAUAGAUCUUGCGGUCGGUUUGGAGGGGUGGCAAGGUGGACGCGGCAGUCAAGAUUUGGCCGUUCUGGAAUCCUCGGAGCAGCCUUCUACAAGUCUGCUUGCCCCCUUGCCUUCCUCCAUUCCCCUGUUUGCAUGGGCAGACACAGCCGAGCCCAUGGCCAACUUUUCUGUUGAUAUCAACAUCAACAAUGAUCUCUUAGUUCAGCAGGGUAACGAUGGCAUGCUGGUUAAUACAGUGGGACAAUAUCUUGAUCUCAACCAGCAGGCUCAUGCACGUGAACUUUUUGAUCUCAAUCAUGCUUCUUCGGCAGAUUCGGAAUCCUUGCAGCUGCCCUUUAGAAGUCUGCUUGCCCCUUCUUCCUCCUCCCUUCACCACACACUAGAACUUUCCUUAUGGCCGGACGCAGCCGAGACCGAAAGGGAUUAUCUCAAUCCGGCCCCUAAUGAGAUUACUGAUGAAGAAUUUUUUGUGGAUUGA